This 699-nucleotide ribosomal RNA is filed under the name Triticum aestivum (bread wheat). Its description in RNAcentral is "partial small subunit ribosomal RNA". Lineage: Eukaryota; Viridiplantae; Streptophyta; Magnoliopsida; Poales; Poaceae. The record is from RNAcentral.
AUGCAAACUACUGAUGUGGCUACAUCUUAUAAGUCUCCAUCUAUGGUUUCAUCCUCUCAGGUUCACACUCGCACGUUGCUUAUAUCAUCACGACAGCUAGAGCCAAAUAAUGAAAAGAAAGACGCUAAGCAGACUGAACUGAAGGCUAAACAUGUGGGGUCUCCAUCUGAAAAUAAGGAGCCUCUGUUGCCACCACCAAAGCCCAUUCGUCAGAAGCCUGUUGAAGCUUCCUCAUAUGCUCAGUACAAUAAUAGAGGCCGAGGCCAUGGAAGAGGCCGGGGAAGAGCAAAUCGGCAAGCACGUCCCGUAGCCAAGUUUGCAGAGGACUUUGAUUUCAUGGCUAUGAAUGAGAAAUUCAACAAAGAUGAAGUAUGGGACGACCAUCUAGAAGACGAUGUGGUGUCUCCUGGAAAACCAGAGGUUAAGCCUGUGUAUGUCAAAGAUGAAUUUUUUGAUUCACUCUCAAACAACACUAUUGAUAAUGGAGCUAGAAAUGGAAGAAUCAAAUUCUAUGAGCAAAGAAAAAUAGACAGAGAGACAUUUGGUGACUCUGCAAGGCAUCGACCUAUGGGCAUGCGGGGUGGAGGAAGGGGAGGCCCCCGUGGUGGAGGUCCUCGUGGUCAUGGUGGCUACUAUGGAAGAGGGUAUGGAUAUACAGGGAGGGGGAGCGACUACUCUUACCAAAACCAUCAGUCUUGA